AACAUCGCGCACCUGCGGGAACCUGCGGAAGGAUCAUUAAAGAUUGACCGAAAGGUCUUAUCUCUAUAUCCCUCACCUCUGUGAACUGUGGACCUCCGGGUCUAUUUAACAAACAUCAGUGUAAUGAACGUAUAUAUCAUUAAACAAAACAAAACUUUUAACAAUGGAUCU
This 171-nucleotide unclassified non-coding RNA is filed under the name soil metagenome. RNAcentral's name for it is "partial contains 5.8S ribosomal RNA, internal transcribed spacer 2, and large subunit ribosomal RNA". The record is from RNAcentral.